GACGAACGCUGGCGGCGUGCUUAACACAUGCAAGUCGAACGCUGAAGCUCAGCUUUUGUUGGGUGGAUGAGUGGCGAACGGGUGAGUAACACGUGAGUAACCUGCCUCCUUCUUUGGGAUAACGCCCGGAAACGGGUGCUAAUACUGGAUAUUCACUGGUCUUCGCAUGGGGGUUGGUGGAAAGGGGUUUUCUGGUGGGGGAUGGGCUCGCGGCCUAUCAGCUUGUUGGUGGGGUGAUGGCCUACCAAGGCUUUGACGGGUAGCCGGACUGAGAGGGUGACCGGUCACAUUGGGACUGAGAUACGGCCCAGACUACUACGGGGGGCAGCAGUGGGGACUAUUGCACAAUGGGCGCAAGCCUGAUGCAGCGACGCCGCGUGAGGGAUGGAGGCCUUCGGGUUGUGAACCUCUUUCGCUCAUGGUCAAGCCGCAACAAUGGUUGUGGUGAGGGUAGUGGGUAAAGAAGCGCCGGCUAACUACGUG
This 483-nucleotide ribosomal RNA is filed under the name uncultured bacterium. Its description in RNAcentral is "partial 16S ribosomal RNA". It matches the Rfam family "Bacterial small subunit ribosomal RNA", at positions 28 to 507 of the family's 1533-position model. The record is from RNAcentral.